UUAAAUUGAAGAGUUUGAUCAUGGCUCAGAUUGAACGCUGGCGGCAGGCCUAACACAUGCAAGUCGAACGGUAACAGGAAACAGCUUGCUGUUUUGCUGACGAGUGGCGGACGGGUGAGUAAUGUCUGGGAAACUGCCUGAUGGAGGGGGAUAACUACUGGAAACGGUAGCUAAUACCGCAUAACGUCGCAAGACCAAAGAGGGGGACCUUCGGGCCUCUUGCCAUCGGAUGUGCCCAGAUGGGAUUAGCUAGUAGGUGGGGUAACGGCUCACCUAGGCGACGAUCCCUAGCUGGUCUGAGAGGAUGACCAG
Molecule: ribosomal RNA, 312 nt
Filed under: Escherichia coli
Lineage: Bacteria; Pseudomonadati; Pseudomonadota; Gammaproteobacteria; Enterobacterales; Enterobacteriaceae
Description: bacterial SSU rRNA
Rfam family: Bacterial small subunit ribosomal RNA
Source: RNAcentral